ACAUUAUCUUCCCUUGCCUGCUAAAUGAAUUGCUGCAAUUCAAACGGUGCUUAUUUAAAAUGGGUCCAGGAUAGAGCACAAGGGCUGUGUUACUUUUUGAUGGAGCUGGAAGUUAUUAAAGGCAGGGAUGCAAAGCUAGCAAAACCCAAUGAGCUCCCCUUCUUUUGCACUGCGUGAGAUCGGGUACCAAAGAAAAACUAACACAGACGUACCAGGAGGCUUUGGCUUUGUACGGCAGAAAGCCAGGCUAGCAACAGUGAAACACCCACAGCAUCUAUGAAAUCUCUGAAAAGCAGAUUCUGUUUUCAUAAUAACACGAUACGUAUCACUGCGUGUGCCAGCUGCUGCCUUCCACAUUACAGAUGCUGUAAAGGAAAUUGUGUCUCUACGUCUCAAGUAAAACGGGGCUCACAAGACGAGGCGGCGCGCGGAACGAAGCCAUCGACGGCAGCUGACACACCGGAUGCCCCGCUGUUUGAUGCAGGUUCCCCAGCUGGCUGCUACGAUGGUGUGGAAAAACGAGAAAAGGCAAGAGACAGGAAAGAUUCAUCUGUCGAGGAGAAGUUGGAUAUAUCUACAGACGUCUAACGUCGAAUCUGAGACACUUUCCGUCUCAUGACUGUUCAAAAAAAAUUUUUUAAAAUAUAACUUAACACCAUG
Poecilia reticulata (guppy) is the source of this 660-nucleotide non-coding RNA. The record is from RefSeq and is a predicted model, not a curated record. NCBI's taxonomy places the organism in Eukaryota, Metazoa, Chordata, Actinopteri, Cyprinodontiformes, Poeciliidae.